UACGUAGGGGGCGAGCGUUGUCCGGAUUUAUUGGGCGUAAAGAGCUCGUAGGCGGUUCGAUAAGUCGGACGUGAAAUCUCCACGCUCAACGUGGAGGGGCCGUUCGAUACUGUCGUGACUCGAGUCCGGUAGGGGAGUGUGGAAUUCCCGGUGUAGCGGUGAAAUGCGCAGAUAUCGGGAAGAACACCCGUGGCGAAGGCGGUUCUCUGGGACGGUACUGACGCUGAGACGCGAAAGCGUGGGGAGCGAACAGG
Molecule: ribosomal RNA, 254 nt
Filed under: uncultured bacterium
Lineage: Bacteria
Description: partial 16S ribosomal RNA
Rfam family: Bacterial small subunit ribosomal RNA
Source: RNAcentral